AACGAACGCUGGCGGCAUGCCUAACACAUGCAAGUCGAACGAGACCUUCGGGUCUAGUGGCGCACGGGUGCGUAACGCGUGGGAAUCUACCCUCAGGUUCGGAAUAACUCAGAGAAAUUUGAGCUAAUACCGGAUGAUGACGUAAGUCCAAAGAUUUAUCGCCUGAGGAUGAGCCCGCUUAGGAUUAGGUAGUUGGUGAGGUAAAGGCUCACCAAGCCGACGAUCCUUAGCUGGUCUGAGAGGAUGAUCAGCCACACUGGGACUGAGACACGGCCCAGACUCCUACGGGGGGCAGCAGUGGAGAAUAUUGGACAAUGGGCGAAAGCCUGAUACCGCAGUGCCGGGUGAGUGAUGAAGGCCUUAGGGUUGUAAAGCUCUUUUACCCGGGAUGAUAAUGACAGUACCGGGAGAAUAAGCUCCGGCUAACUCCGUG
RNAcentral lists this ribosomal RNA (433 nucleotides) under uncultured bacterium. RNAcentral's name for it is "partial 16S ribosomal RNA". It matches the Rfam family "Bacterial small subunit ribosomal RNA", at positions 29 to 507 of the family's 1533-position model. The record is from RNAcentral.